UUUUUAAUUUGGCAAGAACAUAAUAAGCUCUCUCUUCUCUCUUUCUCCUUUAUAUACGUGUACCACAAAUUCCUCUUCAACCAUAAAUCUCUCUGACUACUUCAUUUUCUCUCCUCAACAGUAAUAAACAAAGUUUCUUAUUGGAUUCAAGCCAAGAUCAACGUAUCAAGAUGUUCAUCUUCCAUGUGUCGAGGUUUCAUAUAAACAUGUAUAUAUUAGUUUGUCGUUAUGCCUGGCUCCCUGUAUGCCACGAGUGGAUACCGAUUUUGGUUUAAAAAUCGGCUGCCGGUGGCGUACAAGGAGCCAAGCAUGACCAGAAGCAUAUGAUAACUCAUUUGCAUCAACAACUAUAUAUGGUUUGUGUUAUAGUAGAUGAUGUCUUAUUCAAUAUUCAUCUUUGGUGUUUAUAACUUUGUGUUUUUGAUCAGUAAACAGAAAUAAAACCAUAGUUUUGUGAUUGUCUGUUUGAUAUGUACUACGAUACUUUUGUUUGGAUUCGGUUUUAGUCAUAUGAAUAAUCGUUAGUUUUUUUAAAAAAUGGUUUCGUUUUCUCCCGGUUUGGUCAAGUAACUUGUUUCAAGUUUCAUAUGUAUAGAAUUUGAGUAGGGCUACAAUAAUCUAAAUUGAUUCGUUUAAAGUUACAGUGAUUUGGUUUGUCCAAAUAUAUAUAUAUAUACUAGGAUUUACCCCGUGGUACACCACGGAUCCAUAAUUUAAUAUAUUUCUUUGCUCGAUCAUUUUCGUAGUUGAUUUCUAUAAUUUAGUUUUGUAUAUGUUUAUUUCAUUUAAAUUUAAUAUAAUUUUAUAAAUUCGUAUUAUAAGUAGAUUCAUAGAUGUAUGUGGUAAACCCGCGGUACAUCGCAAGACGAUUUUGUUGUAAAUAAAAAAUUAUAUUUUACCUUAACCCAUAAAAGAUUUUAAAUAUAGACAAUCCGCAGAAAAAUAUAAUCAUAUUUAUGUAAACUAAAACCCGUUCAAUCAUAUUUAUCUACAAUAUUAUUAUAUUUUAAAUAUUUGUAGAGUUAAAAUAUUAAUAAUACUUUUAAUUUUUGUAGAGUUUAAAUAUUUUCAUUAUUUUAAUAUUUUCUAAAACUUAAAUAAAAUAUCAGAAUUUUCAGCUUUUUAAAGUUUUAAUAUUUAUCACAUUUUCAACUUGUUAAAAAAUUAAAAUUUAUAAUAUUCUGAAACUUUUUCAAAUUUUUAAUUUCCUUAAAUAAAGAACCGGAUUAAGCUAAUAAAUUUUUUAAUUUGGAUACUUUAGAAAUCAAAAUUCAUGCUCAUUUGUAGUUGUAAACAUAUUAGUCUUAUUUAUAAAGAUUCUGAACUAUUAUAUAAAAUGUUCUAUCUAAUGUAGACGUUGUACAUAUAUUUUUUCCUUUAUUGAUUGAGUUAACUACGUCCGUUUUCAAAAAUUUAAAUUGCAAAAUGUGUGGAAAAAAAUUUGUAUUUUUAUUAUAAAUAUAUUUUAUGUAAUAAUAUAAAUUUUUUAAAAAAGAUUAUAUAAAUAUAUUGGAGAGAGAUUUGGUUUAUUAGAGAGGGAUUUUAGGAAAUUUUUUGAUGUAAUAAAUAUUUGGUUUCCAAUUUUGGGAUUUGCUUGUGAUUUAAUUACAAAAUUUACUUUAAGUUUCUUUAUUUAUUCAAAUGACAAGAGUUUGAUUAUGCAAAUAAUACAAAAUAAAAGGUUAUAAGCCAAAAUAGAUUUUAGUACAAAAUGUACUUCAAAAAUGUUAAGAUAGAUACUCGAGUCAUUUCGUUUGUUUUUAUUUUAGUCUUGGUGUAAUCAUUUCGUCUAUGUUAUGUAGCUUUACUGUAAAGUUCUUCUAUGUUUGAAUUUUUGUCUACUUUUUUUUUAUAUGAAUAUUUUGGGAUGCACCGAACUUGAAUCAUUUUAUUUGAAUUAUCAUUGGCGGACAAAGUUGAAGUCUUAGGAGAAGAAACAUGUUUGAGAGUGUUCUUUUGUUUUCGGUGGCAAACAGUAAACGUAACAAUCAAUCAGAAUAAUUCUGAAGAAAAAACUCAGAAUUUAGGCGUUAAUUAAGUCUUUAAAAGUUGAAUCAAUCACGGAACACUAUAAAUUGACGGUGAACCAUUUAACAUGGUUAUUUUAAAACCACUUCCAUAUAUAAAAUUAACUAGUGUUUAAUAAAAAUAAGUUAAAGGGGGAAAUUGGGAUUUAUACAAGGGAAAUAUUUAGUAUAUAGUUUUAUGUUAUUUCUUUCUAAGUUGUGUAUUAACCAAAAUUUUAUUUGUUACGAUAAGAAUGCCUUGUUUUUCAAACAUUUACCAUAUUUAAGUAGUAGGAAUUGACUUUGCUAAACAGGUAGAUAUGUAAACAUUUUACUUGUAAUGUGCGACUCGAUAUCUAAUUUUUUCGGAUUUUUCAGAUAGUCAGAGGCUCUUACAUGUAUGGAUUGUGACCUACCCGCGAUUGCAAGUACAAGUAGAAACAAAAAACAAUAACGGAUAUUUAGAAAAUUUUGAAUUCAAGAAUUUGUACCCAAUCUCAAAAUAUACAUUCUAUUUAGUUUUAUAUAGAUUUUUUUCUUUUUCAUGAUAUUAUUCAUUAAUCCUUGCAAAUUUGAGUGUAAUUAAAGCUAAUUUUCUAUAUUUCAUGUUUUUUUUUUAACAAUUCUAUAUUUCAUGUUUAUAACUUAUAAAACAGUUGUCCGGUCCGUGCCACGUCUACAAGGCCAAAAGAUCUUUGCGUUCGUCAAGCUGCUCCUAACUCCUAAGCCUUAAGGGUAAGUAAACCAAGGCCUUCAAACAACAGAGACUACGAGAGGGUCAUCACAUUAAUGUAAAAACCACUUUUCUCUGAAGCUGUUGUAUCGUUCACACACAAGUUGUAAUAGUAAUCUUUUCACUUAAUUCAACUCUAAUGAUAAACUCAUAAAAAAAA
RNAcentral lists this long non-coding RNA (2899 nucleotides) under Capsella rubella. RNAcentral's name for it is "long non-coding RNA (CRUB_LNC000748)". The stretch from base 227 to 313 matches the Rfam family "mir-160 microRNA precursor family". Lineage: Eukaryota; Viridiplantae; Streptophyta; Magnoliopsida; Brassicales; Brassicaceae. The record is from RNAcentral.